CGGCCCUUACUAAAGCCACCGGCAAAGACCAUUUUUCUUUCUUUUUUUUUCCUAACUUGCAUGAUUCUGCUGAUACAUACUUGCACAGGGUAAUGUAACUUUUCUCUACUGCUGCUUAUGGGUUGGAUUUUGUGAUAUGAACUACAACUGCUAGUGUCAUCUUGAAGAUCCGAGUGUGCAAACCCUUGAAAAGAAACAGAUCCAAGUGGGCUUCUCUACAUGUGUUUGAGCUGGAAAAUCGUAGUGUGCUUUUCGGAUAGAGCACUUGACAUUUCGAUUGGAUUACCAUACACUUCUAUGUAAGAGAUGCUCUGUCUGUAUCAGCACUUAAGUCCACUGUAUCUAGAAUGUUGAAUGUUUUACUGUUUACUUUUAUGUAAGGGUGAAUUAGGCCCUUACAUUACCCUAACUUAUUUACUUCACAAACUUGGGAUUUCUUGCCACUUUAAUUUGUC
Molecule: long non-coding RNA, 455 nt
Filed under: Brachypodium distachyon (stiff brome)
Lineage: Eukaryota; Viridiplantae; Streptophyta; Magnoliopsida; Poales; Poaceae
Description: long non-coding RNA (BDIS_LNC001919)
Source: RNAcentral